UACGUAGGUGUCGAGCGUUGUCCGGAUUUAUUGGGCGUAAAGAGCCCGCAGGCGGCUUGCCAAGUUCGAAGUGAAAUCUCCCGGCUCAACUGGGAGGGUGCUUCGAAAACUGGCAGGCUUGAGGCAGGGAGAGGGAUGUGGAAUUCCCGGUGUAGUGGUGAAAUGCGUAGAUAUCGGGAGGAACACCAGUGGCGAAGGCGGCAUCCUGGCCCUGUCCUGACGCUCAGGGGCGAAAGCGUGGGGAGCAAACCGGAUUAGAAACCCCCGUAGUCC
RNAcentral lists this ribosomal RNA (273 nucleotides) under uncultured bacterium. Its description in RNAcentral is "partial 16S ribosomal RNA". It matches the Rfam family "Bacterial small subunit ribosomal RNA", at positions 524 to 796 of the family's 1533-position model. The record is from RNAcentral.